This is a long non-coding RNA of Panicum virgatum (switchgrass), 687 nucleotides long. RefSeq lists it as uncharacterized. NCBI's taxonomy places the organism in Eukaryota, Viridiplantae, Streptophyta, Magnoliopsida, Poales, Poaceae. The transcript is spliced from 2 exons. The record is from RefSeq and is a predicted model, not a curated record.
UUCCUGUCAUCGUCCGAGGCGGAGAGUGGGGCGGCGGCAGCCGGCAGGGGCGUCGUGCAGGAGGGGGACGUGGUGGAGGCCGUCCGGGUGGGGCGCGGCUCCGUGUCCGUGGCCUGUGGGGCUGCACAAGGCGCUGCAUCGUGCCGCACCAUGGCAGCCCCGGCGGCGGCGGCGGAGGGGGGCAGCAGGAAGCAGGACGCGCUGCGGUGGCUGCACGACCCCAACCACGUGCUCGGAAGGAUUCGUCGAGCUCGAACGGCUCGAGAGCGAGUACCUCGUCUCGCAAGGCUUUGUCACAGCACAGGAAGGCGUCUGGCGUUUACUCGGCCAGAAUCCUCGACGAGCCAGCGAUUCCCCGCGUCGAUGGCGUCGGUGCCGACCGCUACCCCGGUCCCGGAGCCCGGACCGCGCCGAAGUUAUGGCUCUGGUCCAAGGGCUGCUGGCAAUGCCUGCACACAGGUUCUUGCCACUUCGAAGUCCGACCUUUGUCUACUGCUAUCUUGAAUCCAUUUUGAUUUCUUUCUCGUCUGGUCACAUUUGGUGCGCUUAUGGAUUGGGGAUGCCACAUCCCAUGCGGCAAGUGAUUCGUUCAUUUUGGGGAAGCAAGAGGCGGCAAUAAUAUAAUAUAAAAUAAUAUUGUUCAGGAAUGAGAAUGAAGAAUCGGACUCAGGUUUUGAUGCCUCCCAA